CCUACGGGAGGCAGCAGUGGGGAAUUUUGGACAAUGGACGCAAGUCUGAUCCAGCCAUGCCGCGUGCGGGAAGAAGGCCUUCGGGUUGUAAACCGCUUUUGUCAGGGAAGAAACGGGUUUCUCUAAUACAGAGACCUAAUGACGGUACCUGAAGAAUAAGCACCGGCUAACUACGUGCCAGCAGCCGCGGUAAUACGUAGGGUGCAAGCGUUAAUCGGAAUUACUGGGCGUAAAGCGUGCGCAGGCGGUUAUGCAAGACAGAGGUGAAAUCCCCGGGCUCAACCUGGGAACUGCCUUUGUGACUGCAUAGCUAGAGUACGGUAGAGGGGGAUGGAAUUCCGCGUGUAGCAGUGAAAUGCGUAGAUAUGCGGAGGAACACCGAUGGCGAAGGCAAUCCCCUGGACCUGUACUGACGCUCAUGCACGAAAGCGUGGGGAGCAAACAGGAUUAGAUACCCUGGUAGUCCACGCCCUAAACGAUGUCAACUGGUUGUUGGGAGGGUUUCUCUCAGUAACGAAGCUAACGCGUGAAGUUGACCGCGUGGGGGAAGUCGGCCGCAAGGUUGAAACCUCGAAAGGAUUGACGGNNGNGNGNGCGACGACGACGACGAGGAGGAGG
This 618-nucleotide ribosomal RNA is filed under the name uncultured bacterium. RNAcentral's name for it is "bacterial SSU rRNA". It matches the Rfam family "Bacterial small subunit ribosomal RNA", at positions 338 to 950 of the family's 1533-position model. The record is from RNAcentral.